UGUUGGUUACCAAGGAUGCCUUCUGUGAUAAAAACAAGAAAGUCCACAGGAUUUCAAUUUGCUUCAGGUUUCAGGAAGAAUCUACGUGGAGAACAAGAGCCAAAGUUGGAGAAAACCUCAAACCACAGCCACUUACUUGUCCACCUGAACUGAUGGCUCAGGGCACAGAGGAGUGGACCAGCUAGUUCAUGGAGGAGUUGAGGUCUUGGCACUGCUGUGUGAUUAGAGUCCAUUCCUGGGUGUGGGGAUGCACUGGUACUUGAACACAGGUCCACAAAGGCUUUUCAUUCAGCAGGAGCACAGGCUCUCAGUUUUGGGGCUACAGUUAGCUGAGAGUGACACAGUUGAGUACUGCUGGAUUAGUCCAUCUAUCUGUGGCAUGGCUUCGGUGAGCUCUACCUUACAGGCUCGACCACAGAUUCCCAUAACUGCCUCUGUUGACGCUCCUCUGUGGCAGAUUCUCAUUUGCUCACUGUCAUUCCUGAGCUAGGAUCAGCCCCCCAAAUAAGCAAGCUAGCAAGAUUUUUACAGGGAUAAAUUCUGGUAAGUUAGGUAAAGUUAGGCAUUGGCAAAAAUGUGGAGAUCCCAGGAAUCUUCUGACUUCUACCAAAAAGCCUGAGCUAACUUUCCAACUCUUUUCCAAAGCAAAAGAGUCCCAUCCACUUCAGCGACUCCCCUGGAACAGGUGCACACAAAGGUCACUGGAUUCAGGGCAACAGACCAAGAGUUAGUUCAGCAUAAGAAAUCAGGCUCUGGAGAGCAAGAAACUCUGUGUGGAGUUGAAUAACUCCUCCUCAGAAGGGAGUUCUUGUCAGUCCAUUGUCACUUAAGCAUCAGCAGAAGGGACACAGAAUGGAGUUGAAGGGACCUCAGUGUUCACAAGUUACAAAGGAAGUAACAGAGAUACUUCAAAGAGGUCAACCAGCCCAGGAUCACAGGCAGACAAAAUAAACUAUAAUAGGAAGAAAUUUGCUGAA
This 977-nucleotide small RNA is filed under the name Rattus norvegicus (Norway rat). RNAcentral's name for it is "uncharacterized LOC108350950". Lineage: Eukaryota; Metazoa; Chordata; Mammalia; Rodentia; Muridae. The record is from RNAcentral.